UACGGAGGAUGCGAGCGUUAUCCGGAUUUAUUGGAUUUAAAGGGUGCGUAGGCGGGAUGCCAAGUCAGCGGUAAAAAUGCGGUGCUCAACGCCGUCGAGCCGUUGAAACUGGCGUUCUUGAGUGGGCGAGAAGUAUGCGGAAUGCGUGGUGUAGCGGUGAAAUGCAUAGAUAUCACGCAGAACUCCGAUUGCGAAGGCAGCAUACCGGCGCCCUACUGACGCUGAGGCACGAAAGCGUGGGUAUCGAACAGG
Molecule: ribosomal RNA, 252 nt
Filed under: uncultured bacterium
Lineage: Bacteria
Description: partial 16S ribosomal RNA
Rfam family: Bacterial small subunit ribosomal RNA
Source: RNAcentral